This 1046-nucleotide long non-coding RNA is filed under the name Scleropages formosus (Asian bonytongue). RNAcentral describes it as "lncRNA (ENSSFOG00015027239.1)". The record is from RNAcentral. Lineage: Eukaryota; Metazoa; Chordata; Actinopteri; Osteoglossiformes; Osteoglossidae.
GAGACGGUUCGGGGAUCUGGGGGUGGGGGCGUGAGAGGAGUGGAGGGAGGGAGGGAGAGAGAGGGAGGGAGAGAGAGAGAGAGAGAGAGCGAGCGAGUGAGCGAGGAUGGAGGCGGGGGAGGGGAGCGGAGGAGAAGGAGGGAGAGAAUGAGAGCUGCGGGUUGAUCUCUCCUGGCUCAGUAUGGGGUGCCCGGCUGCUGCCAGCUGUCUGUCGGUGGGCAGCAGUCAUGUGACACAGCUCUGCCAACAGUGACAUCACAGGAUCAGUUACCGCAGGCGACAGGAAAGGGGGGAGGGGCAACAGCGGAGCUUUCUAGACAGUUCUCAGCCUAAAUACUGCAGUUGUGCGACUCUGUGUGUGUGUGUGUGUCUUCUGGUCUGGCAAGUGUGAUCGAGUGCAUGUGUGUGUGUGUGUGUGUGUGUGUGUGUGUGUGUGUGUGUGUGUGUGUGUGUGUGCGCGUGCGUGUGUGCGUGGGAAAGCCUGUGGGAUUAAAUAAUGCUGGAAAGAGCUAAAGAUCCACUGUGUGGGGGGUAGGUGGGAGGCUAGCUGUGGCCCAAACACACCAGGGGACCUUGGGUGGAGCGCCGCAUGUUCCGCAGAACCACUGUGGCUCGCGAAAACGUCCCUCGACGGCAACUCUGUCCUCAAGGCCAUCGCCCCGUGAAAAGUACUCGGGAACAUCCAGUACAAUGGCAGGAACAGUAGAGGACAAGGUUUUGGCAUUUGAUCAGGAGUAGAAGGAGCCAGACUGGGCCAACCGGGCCCUUCCUGCAUUUGCUCUAUUUAAAUGAAGAGCAGCAGACCGAGAUCAUUGAAGACAUUCAGCGGGAAUUGCUUAAACUAAACAUUCAGCUGGAGGGCAACAACGCCAUCCGGGGGAGCGUGGACUGCGGGAGUGGCAACAGAACAGUCAGUGGGAGCUUCGACAGCAGAGAGGUCAGCAAGACUACAUACCCGAGGAGUACUGUAAACCACAGCAUAGGGAGGUAGCAACCCUCCUUCAGCAGGAGAACCUAGGUCAGCUCUGUGUGUGCCCCUGGUGCAG